RNAcentral lists this ribosomal RNA (429 nucleotides) under Bacteroidota bacterium. RNAcentral's name for it is "Bacteroidetes bacterium partial 16S ribosomal RNA". It matches the Rfam family "Bacterial small subunit ribosomal RNA", at positions 355 to 776 of the family's 1533-position model. Lineage: Bacteria; Pseudomonadati; Bacteroidota. The record is from RNAcentral.
UAGGGAAUCUUCCGCAAUGGACGCAAGUCUGACGGAGCAACGCCGCGUGAGUGAAGAAGGAUUUCGGUUCGUAAAACUCUGUUGUUAGAGAAGAACAAAUGUGUAAGUAACUAUGCACAUCUUGACGGUACCUAAUCAGAAAGCCACGGCUAACUACGUGCCAGCAGCCGCGGUAAUACGUAGGUGGCAAGCGUUAUCCGGAAUUAUUGGGCGUAAAGCGCGCGUAGGCGGUUUUUUAAGUCUGAUGUGAAAGCCCACGGCUCAACCGUGGAGGGUCAUUGGAAACUGGAAAACUUGAGUGCAGAAGAGGAAAGUGGAAUUCCAUGUGUAGCGGUGAAAUGCGCAGAGAUAUGGAGGAACACCAGUGGCGAAGGCGACUUUCUGGUCUGUAACUGACGCUGAUGUGCGAAAGCGUGGGGAUCAAACAGG